This is a non-coding RNA of Pelobates cultripes (western spadefoot toad), 270 nucleotides long. NCBI's taxonomy places the organism in Eukaryota, Metazoa, Chordata, Amphibia, Anura, Pelobatidae. The record is from the annotation of a GenBank genome assembly.
GCUCCUUUUCUCCUCGGCUUAAGUCUGCUCCCUGGCCAUGUGCAAAUGAUUAGUUCUGAGUAAUUUACCAUAAUCAGUUGCAGAUAGGAUUGUGGUGUCCAAAAGUCUGAAAACAUACAGCUUGUCCAAAAACAGAAAUUGAGAGAUCAUUACGAACCCUGAAUGAUAAACAGCAUAUAACAGUAUAUAGAGCAAGGCAUUCCAAAAUGCACAUUGCGUCUUCAUCAUGUUUCAUAACAGUGCCACUUCCAAAGAUCAGUAUGAUACUGG